GUGCCUACGGGACGCAGCAAUGGGGAAUAUUGCACAAUGGGGGAAACCCUGAUGCAGCAACGCCGCGUGAGUGAAGAAGUAUUUCGGUAUGUAAAGCUCUAUCAGCAGGGAAGAAAAUGACGGUACCUGAGUAAGAAGCCCCGGCUAACUACGUGCCAGCAGCCGCGGUAAUACGUAGGGGGCAAGCGUUAUCCGGAUUUACUGGGUGUAAAGGGAGCGUAGACGGCGAUGCAAGUCUGAAGUGAAAGCCCGGGGCUCAA
Molecule: ribosomal RNA, 260 nt
Filed under: uncultured bacterium
Lineage: Bacteria
Description: partial 16S ribosomal RNA
Rfam family: Bacterial small subunit ribosomal RNA
Source: RNAcentral